Molecule: long non-coding RNA, 6097 nt
Organism: Sapajus apella (tufted capuchin)
Lineage: Eukaryota; Metazoa; Chordata; Mammalia; Primates; Cebidae
Exons: 2
Source: RefSeq, a predicted model, not a curated record
UAUGUAUAUGUGCAUGCACAUAUGUGUGCACAUACACACACUCAUGCAUAUAUACAUAAAAGGGGCAUGCACGGCCUAUAUGAGGCUGCUUGGGCACCAUCAAGUGUCCAGACAUUUUGUAUUGCAUAUAUGUAUACAUUAUAUGUGUGUAAUAUAUAUGUAUGUGUGCAUGUGUCUGCAUGCUGUGUGUAUGUCUGCGUGCUUGUGUGUGUGUAACAGAGAAGGUAAAUAAAAUCACAAUGAAAAAGAGUAGCCUUAAAAAGCUAUAGCAGAUAGAGCAGAGUUACCUUUUUCCCCCUCAUUCAUUCUCCUCACAAACAUGCUCCUUUGCUAGAGUCCCAAAAAGAAACGCGCAGUUUCCAGCUAACUGGGCAACAUGGGGUCACUGAAGAUCUGGAAUCCCUUUUACAGGUAGAGAUCAUGUAACCAUUGCAGAAGACAUACUGACAAACCAUGAACCACUGCCGCAGGGAGGACUGAACAACAUUUAUCGUAUCUGAUCUUGGAUAAAAAUCAGUAUCAAUCAUCAGUGGAAAGAAAGCAGGUCUUAAUAGUAUGUCUGCCUCUGACUUUGUAGCUUUCAGAAAGAAUGGAGCUUUUCAUGUGCCAAACACUUUGCCAAAUUCAUCUAGGCUAAUCACAGGUAUUAAACAUAUGGUAUUAUUUUUAAAAUCUGAGGCUUAGAGAGAGGCUUAAGAAUUUUCUCAGAGUCACACAGCAUUUAUUCAUGCUACAAAUGAUGUGCUCCUGACAACGUUAUACAUACAAUGGACGAAAUGAGAAAGAGAGUGUAUUGACUUCUUUAUUUCCCUGCUUCUUAUUCUAGCUACCCCUGUGUAAUGGGAAGAAUGUUUUAGAAGGAAAUAAAACUACAGAAGAAACAUUUUUUUUUAUCCUACAGAGCAGAUUCCCUAAGAAUCUUUUUUGCUUUGAAAAUAAUAAUUUUCAGGUUGAAGAAUUCCAUUUAAUCAGAGAAAAGUAUACAUAUAUUAGUUCCCAUCUAAAGAAAGUGAAAACUGGUUGUUUUAUAUUGCAUAGCCUGUAUUCACUGUUAGAUCUUUGAAUAAGAAAUAAUCCUGAGUAACUGCAGGGAUAUCCAUAUGCAGAGUGGAAUAACCUUUAAAAUAUUUAGAGGUUCAGUCCCUAACAGCUACAUCAUUGAGAAUGAAACUGCUGUUUUUCCAACUAUUUUCUUCUUUGUCUAUCCUCAAACAAGCUAUACAUGUAACCCAAGUCAUGGGAUGGUGACCAGGGCCUCAUGGUUAAUUCAUAGCUCUGUUAUUUUGAAAACUGAUCUGUGGAAGAUUUGGCAACUAGUUGUCUUCAUAUGCUCAUCAGACAUGACUAAACCUUCAAGCAGAAGAGUUUAGGAUAUUUGAAACCCAUGGCAAAAUGAAGAAAGGAUUAGAAAAGAAGAUAUAGCAAUUCCCAAAGGAAGUCAGGAGAAAAAUAUUACAAUAAAUCCAAUGCAUAACACUUUAAAGUACAUAUUUGUGGGGUGAUUGAAGAAAUGGAUGAGCACCUUAUUUAUGUAGCAAUGUAAGAACUCCAUUUUCAGUUUCAUGUAGGCAGUCCUUAUAAGGCUAUAAAUUUCGUACUUCUUAAUAGUCUUUCUGGUGUACUAAACACGUGGUUUUUUUUUUUUUUUAACUUUUUAUGUUGAAAUAAUUUUAUGUUAACCAGAAGUUGCAAAAAUAGUACAGAGUUCCCUUGUAUUCUUCACCCAGCUUCCUUCAAUGAUAACUAACCUUACAUAACCAUAGUACAUGAUCAAGACAAGGAAAUUGACACUGGUACACAUCUAUUAACUACAGACUUUAUUUGGAUUUCACAAUUAUGUAGCUUCUUUAAAAAUGUUAUUUAAAAUGUCUUAAUCGUUGUCUUAAGUAUUUUAUUGUGUUUCAGAUAGCUGCUUUAUAUCUCAACUCAGAACUAAAAAAUUUACUUGAAAAUUGGGUGUCUUAAGGAAAGCUUUUAUGUUUCAUUUUAAUUUGUGUUAUUCUCAAAUAAGUGGAUAAUAUAACCUGCAAUUGCAUGAAUGCUUGUGGAGUUUAAUGUGAUUGCUCAUCUGCAAAAUUAAGACUUGAAGCAAAGUCUAGUUUGGCUGUCCUCCAAGUAGUUUCUUUUCUUCAGUGAAAUCAUAAUUUUCACCAUUUCUAUCAGUAUCUUCUGACUGAUGAGGUCAUAAAAUUUCUGCGAUGCCAAACUUAGUUAUCUGUUGGACUUUGUGUUUCCCUUUUAUCUACUAUGUAAACUACAGGCCGGGUGUCAUUGGAAGACCUUGACAUCUUUUAGUAUACUGCUAAUUUAGACCAGUGACGCUAACUUGUUCUUUCACAAUUAAAAAUAUGAAGAACAAAAAAAAUGUAUUUGUAUAAUAAUUUAUAGUUUCAAAAUGCUUUUAUCUGCAGGACGUUCCUUGAUCUUACACAACCCUUUGAAAUAGGCAAAGGUAAUAAUUUUAUUUCUACUUAAGCUUUGUGGGCUCCUAAGAGUAAAGGUCUCAUUCAUUCAUAGAAAAAACUAGAUUCAGCUGGGAAGAUGUACUCAUGCCAGAUAAAUCAAUAGAGGAAAUUUAAUAUGGAUAAUUUAAUAUGAUGAUUACAAUUAGAUAAAAGAGUUCAAAAAACAAGCAGGGAAGGGUGAGGCAAACCUAAGGUUAGUCACCAACAGAAGCUGCCUACCUGCUUAGAGCUGGAGGGACAAAGAAAAAAGUGGACUCCUGGAUCUCAGGAAGUUGAGGUACCUUGUUAGAUGAGAGCCACCCACUCAUCCAACCUAACUGGAAGUCUAAUGGCAAGGGAGCCAAGAAAACAAGGCUUCAGUGUACUACCCUACCACUGGUAUUAAAGCAGAAGUGGGGAAGUAUAGGUAAUAAAUAUGAGAUUUAAAGUGCCAAUCAUGUUGUUCCAAGUAUACUCAUUUUUUAUAGAUAUACCAUGCAAUGACAUAUUGUUGGGUACAAAAGAGAUGAAAUUAGUAUUAGAUCUGCUGUGGAAAAUUUUUCAUUUUUAAAGAGGUGACCAUAAUGGAAACAAGCACUGCCGUUAUUACUGCUAGAUUUACUACCAGCUAACAUUUAUUGAGUAAUACUUACAUGUAAGGAGCUGCAAUACAUCAUUUAAAUAUAGUUUAUCAUUUAACCCUCUGGGUCCAGUACAGUUACUCCUAUUUUACAGAUCAUAAAAUUGAGGCUUUUAAAAAUUAUAAUGCUCACAGUGACAAGGUUGAACAGCCAAGAUUCUGAUGUAGACCGUUUCUAAAACCCAUGCUCCUAACACUGCCCUAUAUUGCCUCCUGAAAUAUAAUAAAGUUUUAAAAGUUUUAGAAUUAAUUAUAUGUGUAGGCUAUACUGCAGUGGCUAAUUCCUUCCAGGGAAAUGGGAAACUACAGAAGAGACAACAAUACACCAAAGUUGAACUUGAAAUAUGAGGGUCUUUCUAGGUAAAUAAAAAGACCAGGGUAGUAAUAACAGAACAUCAGUACCAAACUGCGUAUUAUUUUCUAAGAACUUGGUAAGCUUGGCUACCUAGCCGCAGGUAAUUCAGACCUGUUGGAGGAUAGUAUGGGAGGGGGAAUUUUAAUAUGAGAAAAGUCUAGGAAGACAGUCAGAAGGCAUACCAUAUUCAGGAGAUAUUAAUUCACACUCAAGAAAAUGGGAAGCUGUUGAUGAUGGUGUGCUAUGGAGAGCCCUAAUCAGUUCUGGUUUUGAAAUAAUAACCUGCAGAAUUAGGUCACUAUUACUACAUGUUUGUAGAGUACAUGAUUAUUAUUUAGGGAAGGGAUGCCCUGAAAAAAUGGACCGGAGUUUAAAUGUUACCUUAGUGUAGUAGAUGUACCAGUAGCUGCAUCUGACCUCUUAUUAUUCUUUAAAUUCUCAAUCACUGCACAUCAAUGUUCUUAAUAAGAGAUUAGAGACGUUUGAGAGGAAGAUUUUGCUAUAAAUACUUGAUUGGAGCCCUUUAUUCAUUUGUUUCCAAAUUAAGGCAAUGAUACCUGAAUAAAUAUAGUUCUAUAAUUAUAUACUUUCUUAUAAAACUUUCACAUGUAUUUUCACAUAUGAUCCCCAAAUAACCUAUGAGUUUAAUAGCAUAGCUGUUUUUGCUACAAUUUGAAUAUGAGGAAAGAGAGCAGUAGAAGGGUAGAAACUAAAUAGCAGGGCCAAGACCUCAAGUGGGCCUCUUUUGUUUCUACCUCUGUUACUUAUACACUUGAUCUUAGCCAAAAGGCCAAGAAGCAGUAUCAGUGUUACUUUUGUCUAUGCUCACAUAUCAUCUUGAUCUGAGACAAGUUAUCUCAUUGUUUUAUUAUAAUUAUGUUAAUAUACUUUUAUUUAAGGAAAUUAAACUAUGUAAUUCCUAUUCAAAUUUUCUAUAUGGUGUUAUAUUUUCCUUGUAUAUCUAUAUACUUCACAGCAUAGGCUUUCUCAUGGAUAUAGUUUUUUUUUUUUUUUACUAGCAAUUGUCUACAUCUCAAAAAUGUCACCUGUCAAGUAUAUAAAUUUCCUCAGUAAAUAGAAAGCUAUUGAAUAUUUUUAUAUGAGCUUUAAACUCAGCUUCACCUGGUUUCCAUUAUGUUGCAAGGUGCUUUAAAGGUAGAAAUGCAUUUUUGGUCUGCUCACAAACAGAUGAAAAAUUAUCUUCUUGCCUUCUUCGAUUUUACUUUCUUGCAGGCACGCUGAGUUAUAUCUCACCUGUGUUAAAAUGGAGAUAGCUUUAUAUCAGCAAAGUAGAAAGAAUUCUUGAUACUAAAGUAGUACAUUUCCUUUCCUUCUUUUCUUUUCCUUCAUAGAGUUUUGUAGUGUUCAUUUUAUUUAUUUGAAUAUCAGAAUUCUCUAGAUCACUGCCAAAUAUUGGGAUUAAAGCAGUUUAGGUGAACAAAAAUGAGUAAUGGCUGCAUUUAAUUACAGAUAAUAACCAUAUGAGAAAGGGAUGAAAGAAACUCUGAAGCUCCUAGAGCUUCAUCAUUGCCAUUUAUUUGGCAAAAUAAUUAUUUAGCAUUAAGAGCUUAUAUCAGAAUUGAUUUAUGACUGAUUUUAAAAUAUCUUAUAUUGCCAUCAUGUCUGUAAUUCCAGCUACUUGGGAGGUUGAGGAGAGGAUUGCUUGAGGCCAGGAGUUUGAGAUAAGCUUGGGCUACACAGUGAGAGCACAUCUCUUUUUAAAAAAUCUUAUAUCUUUAAGUGACAACUUAUAUACUUAAGUGACAAGUAUCCUUAAAACAACUUAUAUCUUUACCUUCUGAGUUGGCUCAGUAAUAUCUUUCUCUAAAUUAUCAGUAGGGUUUUAUUCAGAGAAAAAGGUCAAAAUUAUCACUAUAAUCAUUCCAAAGGUAAUAUUCAUUUAUAUCCUCUUACACCUGUGUCCAUAUGCACAUAAAUACAGAGUGAUUCAUGACCAGGCAAGUGAAUUUAGAAAAUGUUGCUUUUAAAACAAGUAUAAAAGUGUGUGUUCAUACAAUAUAUGUAUAAUAACUAUAGGCAUUAUAGAAAUGUGAGGAAAAUUAGUUGAUUUUUAUUUCUUUUUGUUUACCCCCCUUGAACUUGACUGUUUAGGAAAAUUCAGUUCCUUCCUGGGAAAAAAUUGGUACUGGUUAUUGUAUAGACACUGCAGAUUCUCUUAAUUGGCAAAAUGGAGCUUCACUUCUAACUGUACUUUUAACUUUGAAUGAUUAGCUGACUUUGUAAGAGAAAACUAUGCCUCAUUUUCCAUAUAUGUGAAAGUGUGACCACAUUGUCACACUCUAAAAAGGUCUUCUUGAAGAUGAAUUAAAAUAUAAUCCACAAGAGAUGUUGAUGAGCAAGGUAAAGGCAUUAUUCAAAUUGUAUAUUUGAAAUUAUGUUUAAAUCAGGCAAAUGUAAAAAUCAAUUCAAUGUGACAAUAUGUAACAUUUUGGCCAAGCCAAAAAUAUUAUAAUAAUGGUUGUAGGCAAAUCUAAAUUAUGGCUUGGAAAGCCUGAACAGACAAGUUCUAGGAAUGAAAUCAGAGUCCAAAGUCUGUGAAGGUUAAUGCAGGAUUGAACAAGUGGUCAGCCAGGGCAGUGUCAGUAUAACCUGUAGUUUAUCUAGAGAAAUAAUCUUUGUUAAGAAAGAAUUUGGUUA